Castor canadensis (American beaver) is the source of this 465-nucleotide non-coding RNA. The record is from RefSeq and is a predicted model, not a curated record. Lineage: Eukaryota; Metazoa; Chordata; Mammalia; Rodentia; Castoridae.
UCUGGAACUAUUUCAGAUCAUCUCAGUUUAAACAUACUGACCUGUUCCUAGGAUCACCAUUGACAAUUUGGAAUGCUCUCCUUUAAACUUCUCCCUCUUUUCUUUGGGUCACUUAUAUUUUUCUGCAGUUAGUAUCAUCUCUCUCCUAUAGAAGACGCAACCAUGAGGAAGAGAUUUGGUGGCAAAAGAUCUUCAGUACUGUGCACAAAUAUAUAGAGGUCUUGAAAAUGGGUUGCAGUCCUUAUCAGGAAAUCAACAAGGACUCUGGUUUGUCUGAGUGGAAGAAAAGAAGUAGCAGGAAAUGACUCCAUCAGUUCCUCCUCUCCUAGCAGAGUACAACAUGAUGACACAAACAUUCCCUUACUUAGUUUGCCAUGCACCUGGUGCUGGUGCCAUCUACCGGAUACAAGUAAAGUUAACGAUGUGACCAUUGUUCCAUAUGUAAAAAGUACAACUCAUUACAGC